UCAAGGAGAACCACAUCUCGCCACCGGCCACCACAUUUCCAGUUCCGGUCGUCUUCUCCAGCCAAAAAUUUCAGGCCGAGUCUCUCUCUCUCGUUUUUCUCAUUUUUCUCUCGGGAAUUAACAGAUGAUGUGAACAAUGAAGCAUCAUUUCAUGAUGACAAAUUCCUUUCAAAGAAUGGGCAACCCAAAGAAUUCUUCUUAUCCAGCGAUGCUAAUGCUGUAGUUGAACACACAAAAAAGGUUUUGGUAAUUUAGGAUGGUGAAGUUGUUCAUCUUAAGGGGAAGGAGGCACUGGUGGAUCACUUUGAGAAGUCAACGUUUCGAUGUGAUACGAAUGAGUUCCUGCUUGUGUGUUUCAGCCCAGCAAGAGAUGGUUCUGGUAAGUGGGUGAAACAAAAUUUGGUUGGGAAGCAUAUAUAUAUAUAUAUAUAUAUAUAUAUAUAUUAAUUAAUUAAGGGUUUAGUUUAGGGUACCAUAUCAUUGGAGUAUUUGGAGCAAGCGCCGCAAAUAAACACUAUAAUAGUUCCUAUGUGGUUUGUUUAAUGACUUCUAAGUAUUAAUUCAUCUUUUCUAUUCCU
Molecule: long non-coding RNA, 578 nt
Organism: Cornus florida
Lineage: Eukaryota; Viridiplantae; Streptophyta; Magnoliopsida; Cornales; Cornaceae
Exons: 3
Source: RefSeq, a predicted model, not a curated record